AGAGUUUGAUCCUGGCUCAGGACGAACGCUGGCGGCGUGCUUAACACAUGCAAGUCGAGCGAUGAGAUCCCUUCGGGGAUGGAUUAGCGGCGAACGGGUGAGGAACACGUGAGGAAUCUGCCUUCUACUCUGGGAUAACUCCGGGAAACCGGGGCUAAUACCGGAUAUGAAACUUGGUGGUAUCACCGAGUUUGGAAAGUUUUUCGGUAGAAGAUGACCUCGCGGCCUAUCAGCUUGUUGGUGAGGUAAUGGCUCACCAAGGCGACGACGGGUAGCCGGCCUGAGAGGGCGACCGGCCACACUGGGACUGAGACACGGCCCAGACUCCUACGGGAGGCAGCAGUGGGGAAUAUUGGGCAAUGGAGGAAACUCUGACCCAGCGACGCCGC
Molecule: ribosomal RNA, 389 nt
Filed under: uncultured bacterium
Lineage: Bacteria
Description: bacterial SSU rRNA
Rfam family: Bacterial small subunit ribosomal RNA
Source: RNAcentral